Molecule: long non-coding RNA, 389 nt
Filed under: Actinidia chinensis (golden kiwifruit)
Lineage: Eukaryota; Viridiplantae; Streptophyta; Magnoliopsida; Ericales; Actinidiaceae
Description: long non-coding RNA (ACHI_LNC005096)
Source: RNAcentral
AAUCGGCCGAAACGACGUCGAAUUGGGGGGAAAACGACGCGAUGUUUGGCGUUAAAACCCUAAAUCGAUUGCUAAGGAAGCCAUAUCUGUACACUUCCUUGCGAUUCGAGCAGAAUUUUCCGUGAAUUACAGGUCCGAGCGUUUCGAUCGCCGGCAUUUGAAAACCCUAUGAAAUGGAAAGAAAAAAACCUGAGAGAGGGAGAGAGCAGAACAGAAAGAAGAAGGUUGAGGGAGAAGUGGGAGGAUGAGCUUGGGCCGUCCGAUUAAGCGAUUGAGUGGUCCGAACCGUUGGCUCAACUUCGCUUGUCUUUUUUCGUGUUAUCCUGUUUGUCAGGUGAUAUGGUCUGGCAUAAUAAGCACGUGCGACAUAUAUCGUUUAGGGUGGGAUU